RNAcentral lists this long non-coding RNA (458 nucleotides) under Cavia porcellus (domestic guinea pig). Its description in RNAcentral is "lncRNA (ENSCPOG00000030329.1)". Lineage: Eukaryota; Metazoa; Chordata; Mammalia; Rodentia; Caviidae. The record is from RNAcentral.
CGCGCCGGCCGCCAAGGGCCUCCCUGGCCUCGCGGACCCGGGGCUCCGGGGCCUGCCCUUGCGUGCCUACGGCACCACCGACGCCCCACCCUUCUGCUCCUGUACCCGAGCCUGCCUCGUUCCCUCUCCUGAAGGCGUGGAGUCCUUCCAUGCCCACCCGGGGAAGACGAGGGACGAGUCCAUCGCAUGUAUUGGUUCCUGUCCGCCAGCCCCGCGCCUGACCAGCGUAGCCCCAAGCCCACCUCUUAGAGCUUCAGCAGUUGAGCGCCCCGUUCUGUGUGCGGGAUAUGCAUUGUGCAUGGCGCCGCCUUCUUCUCCAACUUCGCCUUGCUCCUGCUCCUUUUACCGGCACGAAUUGUUCCAGAGGCCCCCAAAUGUCCUCUGAACAGUAAAACGCUGGGUAGCCCGUUCUAAACACAUUUCCGUAAUUGAAGCAUGCUUAAUUAGCUACAGGAGAG